Molecule: long non-coding RNA, 253 nt
Filed under: Nicotiana benthamiana
Lineage: Eukaryota; Viridiplantae; Streptophyta; Magnoliopsida; Solanales; Solanaceae
Description: long non-coding RNA (NBEN_LNC038059)
Source: RNAcentral
UCGUUUAACUUUUAACACUGUCUUUAAGUUAGUCGACUAACAUAAAAGUUAGUCGAUUAACUUUUAACACUGUUUUUGCAUAAUUUUCAGAAUUAAAACAUGAUUUUCAACAAGCAUCUUAAACAAGAAAACAUGUUGUCUACCAACUAAAAUCAUGCUAAAUACAAUGUUUUAAUUCAAGUAAAGAUAACAUGAUAUUAAAACAUCAAAUUUCAACAAAACAUAACAUUCGUAAAAUCAUGCUAUAUCAUGG